Molecule: ribosomal RNA, 167 nt
Filed under: Calyptella sp.
Lineage: Eukaryota; Fungi; Basidiomycota; Agaricomycetes; Agaricales; Porotheleaceae
Description: partial large subunit ribosomal RNA
Rfam family: Eukaryotic large subunit ribosomal RNA
Source: RNAcentral
CGGGAAAAGCUCAAAUUUAAAAUCUGGCGGUUUCACCGUCCGAGUUGUAAUUUAGAGAAGUGUUAUCCGCGCUGGACCGUGUACAAGUCUCCUGGAAUGGAGCGUCAUAGAGGGUGAGAAUCCCGUCUUUGCCACGGACUACCAGGGCUUUGUGAUGCGCUCUCGAA